GUGCUGGCUUCUGCAGCACAUACACUAAAAUUGGAAUGAGACAGAGAAGAUUAGCAUGGCCCCCCACACAGGAUGAUAUGCAAAUUCAUGAAAAACUCCAUAUUUUU
This is a small nuclear RNA of Otolemur garnettii (small-eared galago), 107 nucleotides long. The record is from Ensembl. NCBI's taxonomy places the organism in Eukaryota, Metazoa, Chordata, Mammalia, Primates, Galagidae.